This 1055-nucleotide ribosomal RNA is filed under the name Protoparmeliopsis achariana. Its description in RNAcentral is "SSU rRNA". It matches the Rfam family "Bacterial small subunit ribosomal RNA", at positions 202 to 1198 of the family's 1533-position model. The record is from RNAcentral. Lineage: Eukaryota; Fungi; Ascomycota; Lecanoromycetes; Lecanorales; Lecanoraceae.
UAAAGAAACUUAUGUUUCGCUCUUAGAAGUGUGUAUCUCGUGUAUUGUAGUAGUUAGGGUAAAAGCCUAACUAGCUUUAUACACGCAGUCGAAACUGAGAGGUUGAUCGAUCACAGUGGGCCUGAAUAAAGCCCACGACGAGAGUUACAGCAGUGAGGGAUAUUGGUCAAUAGCCUAACGGCUGAACCAGCAACUUGGAGGAAUGUAUAGCAAUAGCUAAUUGCAUCAAUGUUUAAAUAAUUGAUGCAAUAUCGACUCUGUUGAAUAAAAUUCUAGGUAGAAUUAUGAUAAUGACAUUGUCUACCUAUGUGUCUUGACCAAAUUACGUGCCAGCAGUCGCGGUAAUACGUAGAAGACUAGUGUUAUUCAUCUUUAAUAGGUUUAAAGGGUACCUAGACGGUAAAUCAAGCCUGCAAUAUGGGACUAAUGUACUAGAGUUACUUACGAGGGGGUAUUAAAGUACUGCUGGUGUAGAGAUGAAAUUCUGUCAUACCUCGUUUCGGAAGAAACACUAUGGCACAGGUAUAGGCGAAAGCAUCCCCUUAUGUGAUAACUGACGUUGAAGGACGAAGGCUUUGUGUAGCGAACAGGAUUAGAUACCCCAGUAGUCAAAGCAGAAAAUGAUGAAUGUCAUAGAUUAGAUGUAUAGUUUAUUCUAUAAAUGAAAGUGUAAGCAUUCCACCUCAAGAGUAAUUUGGCAACAUUGGAACUGAAAUCAUUAGACCGUUUCUGAAACCAGUAGUGAAGUAUGUUGUUUAAUUUGAUAGUCCGCAAAAAACCUUACCACAAUUUGAAUAUUUAGAUUUUUAUUUUCUCUUCCUAAUAUUUGGAUAUAAGUUCGAGUCUUAGAUAAGAACUUAUUAGCUCAAAGAUAGAGUAGAAUAUUUAAGAAAAGAAAAUAAAUCCAUUUACAAGCGUUGCACGGCUGUCUUCAGUUAAUGUCGUGAGAUCAUGGUUAGUUCCAUUAAUUAACGUAAACCCUUACUUUAUUUUUAUAUAGAGUUGUUCCCCGCUAGAUUGGAUAAGAUAACAGGGACUAAGACAAGUCAUCAUGG